CAUAGGUUGAGGAGGCGGUAACCGUGGCGGUGGAGGAGGAGGAUGAGGUAGCCAACACUGUUUAUAUAUAUAUAUAUUUUUUUUAAUUGGGGUAGCCCCCAAAAUAUUGGGAUAUAUAAAAAAAAGACAACUCUGUUCCGCAGAGUAGCUGUUGACAUUAUAGUUGCGCAGGAACUUUGUUGACUCUUGAGAACCUCAUCCAGUUUCUGCGCCUACCAUGGUGGCCACGGGUAAUGGGGAAUCAGGGUUCCAUUCCGUACAGGGACCCUGAGAAACGGCUACCACAUGCAAGGAAGACAGCAGACGCGCAAAUGACCCACUCCCAACACGGGAAGGUAGUGACG
This is a non-coding RNA of Pelobates cultripes (western spadefoot toad), 344 nucleotides long. The record is from the annotation of a GenBank genome assembly. Lineage: Eukaryota; Metazoa; Chordata; Amphibia; Anura; Pelobatidae.